AUAACUACAAAGGCUUCUUACGAAUGACUGGCUUUUGCAAAAUAAAGAUACCAGCUGAGGUUACUGCUGCAUUGGAGCCUAUUAAGGACAAUGAGGAAGCAGUCAGAGCCUAUGGAAUUCACCUGGGAACAGAAAUGUGCAAGAAGAUUUUAGCUUAUGGCAUUAAGACAUUGCAUCUUUACACUCUAAACAUGGAGAAAUCAGCACUGGCUAUAUUAAUGA
This 222-nucleotide unclassified non-coding RNA is filed under the name Hevea brasiliensis (rubber tree). Lineage: Eukaryota; Viridiplantae; Streptophyta; Magnoliopsida; Malpighiales; Euphorbiaceae. The record is from RNAcentral.